This 809-nucleotide small RNA is filed under the name Pan troglodytes (chimpanzee). RNAcentral's name for it is "retained intron". Lineage: Eukaryota; Metazoa; Chordata; Mammalia; Primates; Hominidae. The record is from RNAcentral.
GGAACUCUGGGUGAACUGAGUCAUCAUCCCCAGGGCACGGGUGGGCAGCUGCCCCAGGGGACCUGCCUGGACUAAUGAGAUAUUCUGUGUCUGUCCAUCCAUCCAGGUGCAAGUUCUUCAGUCUGACUGAGACGCCAGAGGAUUACACUAUCAUUGUCGAUGAGGAAGGAUUCCUAGAGCUGCCCUCCUCGGAGCACCUGAGUGUGGCAGAUGCCACCUGGCUGGCCCUGAACGUGGUGUCCGGCGGUGGCAGCUUCUCCAGCUCCCAGCCCAUCGGCGUGACCAAGAUCGCCAAGUCAGUCAUCGCCCCACUGGCUGACCAGAACAUAUCCGUGUUCAUGCUGUCCACGUAUCAGACAGACUUCAUCCUGGUGCGCGAGCGGGACCUGCCCUUUGUCACCCACACGUUGUCAUCAGAGUUCACCAUCCUGCGGGUCGUCAAUGGCGAGACCGUGGCAGCCGAGAACCUCGGCAUCACCAAUGGCUUCGUGAAGCCCAAGCUGGUCCAGAGGCCAGUCAUCCACCCACUGUCCAGCCCGAGCAACAGGUUCUGUGUCACCAGCCUGGACCCUGACACGCUGCCUGCUGUUGCCACACUCCUCAUGGAUGUCAUGUUCUACUCCAAUGGAGUGAAGGACCCCAUGGCCACUGGGGAUGACUGCGGCCACAUCCGCUUCUUCUCCUUCUCCCUCAUCGAGGGCUACAUCUCCCUGGUGAUGGACGUGCAGACGCAGCAGAGGUUUCCUAGUAACUUGCUGUUCACAAGCGCAUCCGGAGAGCUCUGGAAGAUGGUCCGGAUUGGAGGACAG